Molecule: ribosomal RNA, 546 nt
Filed under: uncultured Glomus
Lineage: Eukaryota; Fungi; Glomeromycota; Glomeromycetes; Glomerales; Glomeraceae
Description: SSU rRNA
Rfam family: Eukaryotic small subunit ribosomal RNA
Source: RNAcentral
UUGGAGGGCAAGUCUGGUGCCAGCAGCCGCGGUAAUUCCAGCUCCAAUAGCGUAUAUUAAAGUUGUUGCAGUUAAAAAGCUCGUAGUUGAAUUUCGGGAUUAGUACGCUGGUCGUGCCUUCGGUACGUACUGGUGUUACUGAUUCCUACCUUCUGACGAACCAUCAUGUCAUUAAUUUGGUGUGGUGGGGAAUCAGGACUGUUACUUUGAAAAAAUUAGAGUGUUUAAAGCAGGCUCGCGCUUGAAUACAUUAGCAUGGAAUAAUGAAAUAGGACGUUGACCCUAUUUUGUUGGUUUCUAGGAUUGACGUAAUGAUUAAUAGGGAUAGUUGGGGGCAUUAGUAUUCAAUUGUCAGAGGUGAAAUUCUUGGAUUUAUUGAAGACUAACUACUGCGAAAGCAUUUGCCAAGGAUGUUUUCAUUAAUCAAGAACGAAAGUUAGGGGGUCGAAGACGAUCAGAUACCGUCGUAGUCUUAACCAUAAACUAUGCCGACUAGGGAUCGGAUGAUGUUAUUUUUAAUGACUCAUUCGGCGCCUUACGGGAAAC